UACGUGGGGUGCGAGCGUUGUUCGGAAAUACUGGGCGUGAAGCGCGUGUAGGCGGCAUAUUAUGUACGGUGUGAAAGCCCUCGGGCAAACCCAGGAAACGCGCCUGAAACUACUAGGCUUGAGUACGAGAGAGGAGGACGGAAUUCCCAGUGUAGAGGUGAAAUUCGUAGAUAUUGGGAGGAACACCGGCGGCGAAAGCGGUUCUCUGGAUCGAUACUGAAGCUAAGACGCGACAGCGUGGGGAGCAAACAGG
RNAcentral lists this ribosomal RNA (253 nucleotides) under uncultured bacterium. RNAcentral describes it as "partial 16S ribosomal RNA". It matches the Rfam family "Bacterial small subunit ribosomal RNA", at positions 524 to 776 of the family's 1533-position model. The record is from RNAcentral.